GAUGAACGCUGGCGGCGUGCCUAAUACAUGCAAGUCGAGCGAAUGGAUUAAGAGCUUGCUCUUAUGAAGUUAGCGGCGGACGGGUGAGUAACACGUGGGUAACCUGCCCAUAAGACUGGGAUAACUCCGGGAAACCGGGGCUAAUACCGGAUAACAUUUUGAACCGCAUGGUUCGAAAUUGAAAGGCGGCUUCGGCUGUCACUUAUGGAUGGACCCGCGUCGCAUUAGCUAGUUGGUGAGGUAACGGCUCACCAAGGCAACGAUGCGUAGCCGACCGGGGAGGGUGAUCGGCCACACUGGGACUGGGACACGGCCCAGACGCCUACGGGAGGCAGCAGUAGGGAAGCUUCCGCAAUGGACGAAAGUCUGACGGAGCAACGCCGCGUGAGGGAGGAAGGCUUUCGGGUCGUAAAACUCUGUUGUUAGGGGAGAACAAGUGCUAGUUGAAUAAGCUGACACCUUGACGGUACCUAACCAGAAAGCCACGGCUAACUACGUGCCAGCAGCCGCCGUAA
This 515-nucleotide ribosomal RNA is filed under the name uncultured bacterium. Its description in RNAcentral is "partial 16S ribosomal RNA". It matches the Rfam family "Bacterial small subunit ribosomal RNA", at positions 28 to 523 of the family's 1533-position model. The record is from RNAcentral.